RNAcentral lists this ribosomal RNA (204 nucleotides) under uncultured bacterium. RNAcentral's name for it is "partial 16S ribosomal RNA". It matches the Rfam family "Bacterial small subunit ribosomal RNA", at positions 1284 to 1500 of the family's 1533-position model. The record is from RNAcentral.
UCCCUACGUUCGGAUUGUAGGCUGAAACUACGCCUACAUGAAGCUGGAAUUGCUAGUAAUCACAGGUCAGCAUACUGUGGUGAAUACGUUCCCGGGCCUUGUACACACCGCCCGUCACACCAUGAGAGUUGAGAAUACCCGAAGCCCAUGUCAAAGUGGUCGAAGGUAGGCUUGAUGAUUGGGGUGAAGUCGUAACAAGGUAUC